CAGAAGGCCUGUUGCACCAGACCUCAAGGCAAAAGCUUUCAGUUCAUUUAGUUUUUCUCCUCUUCUUUUGGCGAAUGAGCUGGGAAUACCAGUUUAAAGUCUGCGCAGGCUUUAGGAAGUUGAAAGAUACUCAAAUCCUUGAUCUACAAGGCUUACAGGAAGUGUUUGUUUCCUUCGGAACCCCAACAUGGAUGGAUAUUAGGAAAAAUUUCUCCUCAGAAUGAGUGGCAAUGAGUUGGCUCAGGCUGCCCAGGGAGGUGCUGCAGUCACUGCCCCUGGAGGUGCUCAUGGAAUGUGGAGACGUGG
This 306-nucleotide long non-coding RNA is filed under the name Gallus gallus (chicken). The record is from RNAcentral. Lineage: Eukaryota; Metazoa; Chordata; Aves; Galliformes; Phasianidae.